UACGUAGGGUGCGAGCGUUAAUCGGAAUUACUGGGCGUAAAGCGUGCGCAGGCGGUUUUGUAAGGCAGAUGUGAAAUCCCCGGGCUUAACCUGGGAAUGGCAUUUGGGACUGCAAGGCUGGAGUGUGGCAGAGGAGACUGGAAUUCCUGGUGUAGCAGUGAAAUGCGUAGAUAUCAGGAGGAAUACCGAUGGCGAAGGCAGGUCUCUGGGCUGACACUGACGCUCAUGCACGAAAGCGUGGGGAGCAAACAGG
RNAcentral lists this ribosomal RNA (253 nucleotides) under uncultured bacterium. RNAcentral's name for it is "partial 16S ribosomal RNA". It matches the Rfam family "Bacterial small subunit ribosomal RNA", at positions 524 to 776 of the family's 1533-position model. The record is from RNAcentral.